Molecule: ribosomal RNA, 253 nt
Filed under: uncultured bacterium
Lineage: Bacteria
Description: partial 16S ribosomal RNA
Rfam family: Bacterial small subunit ribosomal RNA
Source: RNAcentral
UACGUAGGGUGCGAGCGUUGUCCGGAAUUACUGGGCGUAAAGAGCUCGUAGGUGGUUUGUCGCGUUGUUCGUGAAAACUCACAGCUUAACUGUGGGCGUGCGGGCGAUACGGGCAGACUGGAGUACUGCAGGGGAGACUGGAAUUCCUGGUGUAGCGGUGGAAUGCGCAGAUAUCAGGAGGAACACCGGUGGCGAAGGCGGGUCUCUGGGCGGUAACUGACGCUGAGGAGCGAAAGCAUGGGGAGCGAACAGG